Molecule: ribosomal RNA, 433 nt
Filed under: uncultured bacterium
Lineage: Bacteria
Description: partial 16S ribosomal RNA
Rfam family: Bacterial small subunit ribosomal RNA
Source: RNAcentral
AACGAACGCUGGCGGCAUGCCUAACACAUGCAAGUCGAACGAGACCUUCGGGUCUAGUGGCGCACGGGUGCGUAACGCGGGGGAACCUGCACUUAGGUUCGGAAUAACUCCCCGAAAGGGAUGCUAAUACCGGUUAAGGUCUUCGGACCAAAGAUCUAUCGCCUUUGGAUGGGCCCGGGUUGGUUUAGCUGGUUGGUAGGGUAAAAGCCUACCAAGGCGUCGAUCCAUAGCUGGUCGGAGAGGAUGACCAGCCACACUGGGACUGAGACACGGACCAGACUCCUACGGGAGGGAGCAGUGGGGAAUAUUGGACAAGGGGCGAAAGCCUAAUCCAGCAGUGCCGCGUGAGUGAUGAAGGCCUUAGGGUUGUAAAGCUCUUUUACCCGGGAUGAUAAUGACAGUACCGGGUGAAUAAGCUCCGGCUAACUCCGUG